UACGAAGGGUGCAAACGUUGCUCGGAAUUAUUGGGCGUAAAGCGCACGUAGGCGGCUUUGCAAGUCGGAUGUGAAAUCCCUCGGCUUAACCAAGGAAGUGCAUCCGAAACUGCAGAGCUUGAGUACUUAAGAGGAUCGCGGAAUUCCCGGUGUAGAGGUGAAAUUCGUAGAUAUCGGGAGGAACACCGAUGGCGAAGGCAGGUCUCUGGGCCACUACUGACGCUGAGAAGCGAAAGCAUGGGGAGCGAACAGG
Molecule: ribosomal RNA, 253 nt
Filed under: uncultured bacterium
Lineage: Bacteria
Description: partial 16S ribosomal RNA
Rfam family: Bacterial small subunit ribosomal RNA
Source: RNAcentral